RNAcentral lists this ribosomal RNA (431 nucleotides) under uncultured bacterium. Its description in RNAcentral is "partial 16S ribosomal RNA". It matches the Rfam family "Bacterial small subunit ribosomal RNA", at positions 29 to 505 of the family's 1533-position model. The record is from RNAcentral.
AACGAACGCUGGCGGCAUGCCUAACACAUGCAAGUCGAACGAUGCCUUCGGGCAUAGUGGCGCACGGGUGCGUAACGCGUGGGAAUCUGCCUUUCGGUUCGGAAUAACUCAGGGAAACUUGAGCUAAUACCGGAUAACGUCGCAAGACCAAAGAUUUAUCACCGAAAGAUGAGCCCGCGUAGGAUUAGCUAGUUGGUGAGGUAAAGGCUCACCAAGGCGACGAUCCUUAGCUGGUCUGAGAGGAUGAUCAGCCACACUGGGACUGAGACACGGCCCAGACUCCUACGGGAGGCAGCAGUGGGGAAUAUUGGACAAUGGGCGAAAGCCUGAUCCAGCAAUGCCGCGUGAGUGAUGAAGGCCUUAGGGUUGUAAAGCUCUUUUACCCGGGAAGAUAAUGACGGUACCGGGAGAAUAAGCCCCGGCUAACUCCG